RNAcentral lists this ribosomal RNA (538 nucleotides) under uncultured bacterium. Its description in RNAcentral is "bacterial SSU rRNA". It matches the Rfam family "Bacterial small subunit ribosomal RNA", at positions 336 to 865 of the family's 1533-position model. The record is from RNAcentral.
CUCCUACGGGAGGCAGCAGUGGGGAAUAUUGGACAAUGGGGGCAACCCUGAUCCAGCAAUGCCGCGUGUGUGAAGAAGGCCUUCGGGUUGUAAAGCACUUUUAUCCGGAACGAAACGUGCGGGGUGAAUAGCCUCGUAAACUGACGGUACCGGAGGAAUAAGCACCGGCUAACUUCGUGCCAGCAGCCGCGGUAAUACGAAGGGUGCAAGCGUUACUCGGAAUUACUGGGCGUAAAGGGUGCGUAGGUGGUUUUUUAAGUCUGCUGUGAAAUCCCCGGGCUCAACCUGGGAAUGGCAGUGGAUACUGGAAAGCUGGAGUGCGGUAGAGGGUAGUGGAAUUCCCGGUGUAGCAGUGAAAUGCGUAGAGAUCGGGAGGAACACCAGUGGCGAAGGCGGCUACCUGGACCAGCACUGACACUGAGGCACGAAAGCGUGGGGAGCAAACAGGAUUAGAUACCCUGGUAGUCCACGCCCUAAACGAUGCGAACUGGAUGUUGGGUGCAACUUGGCACUCAGUAUCGAAGCUAACGCGUUAAGU